GACGAACGCUGGCGGCGUGCUUAACACAUGCAAGUCGAACGGAAAGGCCCUGCUUUUGUGGGGUGCUCGAGUGGCGAACGGGUGAGUAACACGUGAGUAACCUGCCCCUGACUUUGGGAUAACUUCAGGAAACUGGGGCUAAUACCGGAUAGGAGCUCCUGCUGCAUGGGGGGGGUUGGAAAGUUUCGGCGGUUGGGGAUGGACUCGCGGCUUAUAAGCUUUUUGGUGGGGUAGUGGCUUACCAAGGCUUUGACGGGUAGCCGGCCUGAGAGGGUGACCGGACAAAUACGGACUGAAUUAGGGACGAGGGUACUACGGGAGCCAGUAAUGGGGAUAAUUGCACAAUGGGGGGAGGCCUGGUCCCGCGAUGCGGGGUGGGGGAUAUGGGCCAAGGUGUUGUAGAACGCUUUGGCCGGAGAUGAAGGGUGGGUGACGGUAAUGGGUAAGAAAAGUCGGGCUAACUACGUG
This 468-nucleotide ribosomal RNA is filed under the name uncultured bacterium. Its description in RNAcentral is "partial 16S ribosomal RNA". It matches the Rfam family "Bacterial small subunit ribosomal RNA", at positions 28 to 507 of the family's 1533-position model. The record is from RNAcentral.